This 566-nucleotide long non-coding RNA is filed under the name Homo sapiens (human). RNAcentral's name for it is "HSALNT0372244". Lineage: Eukaryota; Metazoa; Chordata; Mammalia; Primates; Hominidae. The record is from RNAcentral.
GGGAACAAUAAUGUUAAUUACCCACAGAUUGUUUUUGCUCCAGGCUUUCAGCAUUAUGUCUAUACUGAAUAAAAGCAAGCAGCUCCAGCUGUUUGCCUGCUCACUCUUUGGCCGCUAGUGCCAAGCAGUCCCCUAGCUGCUCUUACACUGCAUAUCUGCGUCUGAGUACUCGUUUCAUCCAUCGUCCAGCCAGGGUCUGUGGGACAGACCCAGCAACUGGUGCCCUGUGUGAGGAAUGCUGCAACAGAUCACGAUGGAACCCCCAAAAAUGAGGUGAAGAGACUGUGCGGGAAGUAAGUAAUUGGUGCCCACUCAGGAUUUCCAAGUUUGAGGGAAUUUUCAACCUAGGGUUUCAUCAUGGGACAACAGUUAUCAGCUCAACAGCAACACUAUAUGAUGGUGAUGGGAAUCUUUGCAAAUUGUAUCUUCUGUUUGAAAGUGAAGUACUUACCUCGGCAGCAGAAGAAAAAGCUACAAACUGACAUUAAGGAAAAUGGCGGAAAGUUUUCCUUUUCAUUAAAUCCUCAGAUGGAGUCUCACUCUGUUGCCCAGGCUGGAGUGCAGUG